UUGACCUCGGAUCAGGUAGGGAUACCCGCUGAACUUAAGCAUAUCAAUAAGCGGAGGAAAAGAAACCAACAGGGAUUGCCCCAGUAACGGCGAGUGAAGCGGCAAGAGCUCAAAUUUGAAAGCUGGCUCCUUCGGGGCCCGCAUUGUAAUUUGCAGAGGAUGCUUCGGGAGCGGUCCCCAUCUAAGUGCCCUGGAACGGGCUGUCAUAGAGGGUGAGAAUCCCGUAUGGGAUGGGGUGCCCGCGCCCGUGUGAAGCUCCUUCGACGAGUCGAGUUGUUUGGGAAUGCAGCUCUAAAUGGGUGGUAAAUUUCAUCUAAAGCUAAAUAUUGGCCGGAGACCGAUAGCGCACAAGUAGAGUGAUCGAAAGAUGAAAAGCACUUUGAAAAGAGAGUUAAAAAGCACGUGAAAUUGUUGAAAGGGAAGCGUUUGCGACCAGACUCGCCUACGGGGUUCAGCCUGCCUUCGGGCAGGUGUACUUCCCCGUGGGCGGGCCAGCGUCGGUUUGGGCGGCCGGUCAAAGGCCCUCGGAAUGUAACGCCUCUCGGGGCGUCUUAUAGCCGAGGGUGCCAUGCGGCCUGCCCGGACCGAGGAACGCGCUUCGGCUCGGACGCUGGCUUAAUGGUCGUAAACGACC
This 634-nucleotide ribosomal RNA is filed under the name Penicillium adametzioides. Its description in RNAcentral is "eukaryotic LSU rRNA". It matches the Rfam family "Eukaryotic large subunit ribosomal RNA", at positions 1 to 649 of the family's 3401-position model. The record is from RNAcentral. Lineage: Eukaryota; Fungi; Ascomycota; Eurotiomycetes; Eurotiales; Aspergillaceae.